GGCAGGAUGGCUCAAUGGAAAGAGCACAGGCUGGGGAGCCAGAGGUCAUGGGUUCAAAUCCCAGGUCCGCCG
This 72-nucleotide transfer RNA is filed under the name Ornithorhynchus anatinus (platypus). It matches the Rfam family "tRNA". From Rfam's summary of the family: Transfer RNA (tRNA) molecules are approximately 80 nucleotides in length. Lineage: Eukaryota; Metazoa; Chordata; Mammalia; Monotremata; Ornithorhynchidae. The record is from Rfam by way of RNAcentral.